RNAcentral lists this transfer RNA (60 nucleotides) under Pealius machili. RNAcentral describes it as "tRNA-Ala". The record is from RNAcentral. Lineage: Eukaryota; Metazoa; Arthropoda; Insecta; Hemiptera; Aleyrodidae.
AAGAUAAUAGUUUAUUAAAAACAUUUAACUUGCAAUUAAAAAAAAUUUAGGUUUAUCUAU